This 459-nucleotide ribosomal RNA is filed under the name Triticum aestivum (bread wheat). RNAcentral describes it as "partial small subunit ribosomal RNA". Lineage: Eukaryota; Viridiplantae; Streptophyta; Magnoliopsida; Poales; Poaceae. The record is from RNAcentral.
AUGUCUUCCUCAAGCUCCGGCGCCACCUCGCGGAUGCAGAGCCGGGCGCAUGUGGACAUGCAUGUCUUCGUCUGUCCAUGGUGCCGGGCAGGCGUUGAUCGGAGGGUUUCUCAGACACCGAGGAACCAGAAUCGUCCGUUCUGCGUGUGCAGUGAGAAUGGGGUGACAUGCUUCUUUCUUUGGGUCGAUGCUCUGGCCAAAACUCUGAUGAAUGAACUGCAAGAAGAGCAUGAAGAAUGGUUGCGCAUGCUGCCACGAACGGCAGUGGCCGCACCACGAGCUCCGGAAGAAGAGAUGAAGGGCGAAGCACGCACUGACAGAGAGCUAGCUGUUGAGCUUAGGAUGUUGAAGAAGAAGGUUAGGAAGGUUGAAUACCAACCCAUUUGCAAAUAUUUUUGGGCAUUUGUAGGUAUGGUAAUUGCACUGGUUGUAAUGUUGAAAAUGUAUGGAAAGGCAUGA